GUGAUUUUAUAGAGUCGUUCUCAGAAUGCCGUAUGUAGAAUUUUAAUAGGAUAAGGUAAAGCCUUGCUGUGGAUGUGAUCCCAGGGCUGAGGCAGAUUGGGAACUCCCUUCGAAGAGCCACCAGUCAAAGCACUGCUCCAGGUUGAGGGUUGUCACGCUGUCCUCCACAGGCUCCAGUGUGUGUCACAAUCAGGUGACAUAUACACUCAUGAAGAUCCUAGACUGAAAAGUGGCAAAACUCACAAUUCCAAAUGUGGGGACCCAAAUGUGAGCUGAUUCUGUUCCCUCGAAGAUGGCACACUACGCCAAAGAAAGGUGCCAAGCCCAGGCCAGACUGGAACACUAACGUCCUUCAAGGAUGAUCAUAAAUCCUUUGUCGCCUUUGGACUUCUAUUGUUUACAACACUGGCAUUUAAGGAUGAUUCAUCCUGUUAACACCAUCUGUCUUCAUUUUGUCUUGAGGGAAGUUUGACCACAACAGCCUUACACUGAUUACAGAGACUCCAUGUGAUCAAGAAAAACCUGUGUAACCUAUAAAGUCCCCAGAGCCUUCAUCCAGUAGCUGAUGGAAGCGGAAGCAGAGACCCACAGCUAAACACUGAGCUGAACUCCAGGAAUCCAGUUGUAAGAGGAGGGGGAGUGAUGAGCAAGGAGUCGAGACCAUGCUGGGGAAACCCACAGAGCUGAGACAAAACAGCUGACCUGAGCAAGGGGGAGCUCAUGGACAGCUGGGGAACCAGCAUAGGACCGAACCAGGCCUCCUGAACGUGGGUGUCAGUUAGGAGUCCCGGGCAGUCUAUGGGGCAUCUGGCAGUGGAACCAGUAUUUAUCCCGAGUGCAUGAAUGGACUUUGUGAGCCCAUUCCCUAUGGAGGGAUAAUAUCUCAGCCUAAAUACACAGGGGAGGGCCUAUGCCCUGCCCCAAAUGAUGUGACAGACUUUUAUGAUCCCUCC
Molecule: long non-coding RNA, 953 nt
Filed under: Cricetulus griseus (Chinese hamster)
Lineage: Eukaryota; Metazoa; Chordata; Mammalia; Rodentia; Cricetidae
Description: lncRNA (ENSCGRG00015033371.1)
Source: RNAcentral